Molecule: ribosomal RNA, 459 nt
Filed under: Dioszegia sp. PDD-32b-41
Lineage: Eukaryota; Fungi; Basidiomycota; Tremellomycetes; Tremellales; Bulleribasidiaceae
Description: eukaryotic LSU rRNA
Rfam family: Eukaryotic large subunit ribosomal RNA
Source: RNAcentral
ACAAUCCCGUACUUGACAUGACUACCGAUGUUCUGUGAUACAUUUUCUACGAGUCGAGUUGUUUGGGAAUGCAGCUCUAAAUGGGUGGUAAAUUCCAUCUAAAGCUAAAUAUUGGUGAGAGACCGAUAGCGAACAAGUACCGUGAGGGAAAGAUGAAAAGCACUUUGGAAAGAGAGUUAAACAGUACGUGAAAUUGUUGAAAGGGAAACGAUUGAAGUCAGUCAUGUCUGUUGGUUUCAGCUUGCCCUGCAAGUGUAUUACCUUCAGACGGGUCAACAUCAGUUUUGGUGCGGUGGAUAAGAGCGGAUUGAAGGUGGCACCUUCGGGUGUGUUAUAGCUUUCUGUUGCAUACACUGCCUGAGACUGAGGACUGCAGCUCGCCUUUAUGGCCGCCCCUCGGGGACGUUCGAGCUUAGGAUGUUGGCAUAAUGGCUUUAAACGACCCGUCUUGAACACCGG